Molecule: ribosomal RNA, 253 nt
Filed under: uncultured bacterium
Lineage: Bacteria
Description: partial 16S ribosomal RNA
Rfam family: Bacterial small subunit ribosomal RNA
Source: RNAcentral
UACGUAGGUGGCAAGCGUUGUCCGGAAUUAUUGGGCGUAAAGCGCGCGCAGGCGGCCUUUUAAGUCUGAUGUGAAAGCCCACGGCUCAACCGUGGAAGGUCAUUGGAAACUGAAAGGCUUGAGUACAGAAGAGGAAAGCGGAAUUCCACGUGUAGCGGUGAAAUGCGUAGAGAUGCGGAGGAACACCGAUGGCGAAGGCAGCCCCCUGGGCUAACACUGACGCUCAGGCACGAAAGCGUGGGGAGCAAACAGG